RNAcentral lists this ribosomal RNA (253 nucleotides) under uncultured bacterium. RNAcentral's name for it is "partial 16S ribosomal RNA". It matches the Rfam family "Bacterial small subunit ribosomal RNA", at positions 524 to 776 of the family's 1533-position model. The record is from RNAcentral.
UACGUAGGGCGCAAGCGUUAUCCGGAAUUAUUGGGCGUAAAAAGCUCGUAGGCGGUUUGUCGCGUCUGCCGUGAAAGUCCGGGGCUCAACUCCGGAUCUGCGGUGGGUACGGGCAGGCUAGAGUGAUGUAGGGGAGACUGGAAUUCCUGGUGUAGCGGUGAAAUGCGCAGAUAUCAGGAGGAACACCGAUGGCGAAGGCAGGUCUCUGGGCAUUAACUGACGCUGAGGAGCGAAAGCAUGGGGAGCGAACAGG